UGGGGAAUAUUGCGCAAUGGGCGAAAGCCUGACGCAGCAACGCCGCGUGGGGGAUGAAGGUUCUCGGAUUGUAAACCCCUUUCGAUCGGAACGAAUCCCCUCCUGGUAAAUAAUCAGGAGGAUCGACGGUACCGAGAGAAGAAGCCACGGCUAACUCUGUGCCAGCAGCCGCGGUAAGACAGAGGUGGCGAGCGUUGUUCGGAUUUAUGGGGCGUAAAGCGAACGCAGUCGGUUUGGUAAGUCAGAGGUGAAAGACCACAGCUUAACUGUGGCACUGCCUUUGAUACUGCCGUUCUUGAGUGCAUGAGGGGGAAGCGGAAUUCCGAGUGUAGAGGUGAAAUUCGUAGAUAUUCGGAGGAACACCGGUGGCGAAGGCGGCUUCCUGGCAUGUAACUGACGCUCAUGUUCGAAAGCGUGGGUAGCAAACA
RNAcentral lists this ribosomal RNA (428 nucleotides) under uncultured prokaryote. RNAcentral describes it as "bacterial SSU rRNA". It matches the Rfam family "Bacterial small subunit ribosomal RNA", at positions 355 to 774 of the family's 1533-position model. The record is from RNAcentral.